GUGGCGAACGGGUGAGUAACACGUGAGUAACCUGCCCUUGACUCUGGGAUAAGCGUUGGAAACGACGUCUAAUACCGGAUACGACCUUCGAAGGCAUCUUCUGAAGGUGGAAAGAAUUUUGGUCAAGGAUGGACUCGCGGCCUAUCAGCUAGUUGGUGAGGUAACGGCCCACCAAGGCGACGACGGGUAGCCGGCCUGAGAGGGUGACCGGCCACACUGGGACUGAGACACGGCCCAGACUCCUACGGGAGGCAGCAGUGGGGAAUAUUGCACAAUGGGCGAAAGCCUGAUGCAGCAACGCCGCGUGAGGGACGACGGCCUUCGGGUUGUAAACCUCUUUUAGUAGGGAAGAAGCGAAAGUGACGGUACCUGCAGAAAAAGCACCGGCUAACUACGUGCCAGCAGCCGCGGUAAUACGUAGGGUGCAAGCGUUAUCCGGAAUUAUUGGGCGUAAAGAGCUCGUAGGCGGUUUGUCGCGUCUGCUGUGAAAACUGGAGGCUCAACCUCCAGCCUGCAGUGGGUACGGGCAGACUAGAGUGCGGUAGGGGAGAUUGGAAUUCCUGGUGUAGCGGUGGAAUGCGCAGAUAUCAGGAGGAACACCGAUGGCGAAGGCAGAUCUCUGGGCCGUAACUGACGCUGAGGAGCGAAAGCAUGGGGAGCGAACAGGAUUAGAUACCCUGGUAGUCCAUGCCGUAAACGUUGGGAACUAGAUGUAGGGGCCAUUCCACGGUUUCUGUGUCGCAGCUAACGCAUUAAGUUCCCCGCCUGGGGAGUACGGCCGCAAGGCUAAAACUCAAGGAAUUGANGGGGGCCCGCACAAGCGGCGGANCAUGCGGAUUAAUUCGAUGCAACGCGA
RNAcentral lists this ribosomal RNA (856 nucleotides) under Microbacteriaceae bacterium CTLA14. RNAcentral's name for it is "bacterial SSU rRNA". It matches the Rfam family "Bacterial small subunit ribosomal RNA", at positions 95 to 964 of the family's 1533-position model. Lineage: Bacteria; Bacillati; Actinomycetota; Actinomycetes; Micrococcales; Microbacteriaceae. The record is from RNAcentral.